Molecule: transfer RNA, 78 nt
Filed under: Tenericutes bacterium MO-XQ
Lineage: Bacteria; Bacillati; Mycoplasmatota
Description: tRNA-Pro
Rfam family: tRNA
About the family: Transfer RNA (tRNA) molecules are approximately 80 nucleotides in length. Their secondary structure includes four short double-helical elements and three loops (D, anti-codon, and T loops).
Source: RNAcentral
CGGGACGUAGCGCAGCUUGGUAGUCGCGCUUGGAUGGGGUCCAAGAGGUCGCAAGUUCAAAUCUUGUCGUCCCGACCA